RNAcentral lists this ribosomal RNA (570 nucleotides) under Cryptorhynchinae gen. sp. ARC4813. RNAcentral describes it as "SSU rRNA". It matches the Rfam family "Eukaryotic small subunit ribosomal RNA", at positions 30 to 581 of the family's 1831-position model. The record is from RNAcentral. Lineage: Eukaryota; Metazoa; Arthropoda; Insecta; Coleoptera; Curculionidae.
GCUUGUCUCAAAGAUUAAGCCAUGCAUGUCUCAGUACAAGCCAAAUUAAGGUGAAACCGCGAAAGGCUCAUUAAAUCAGUUAUGGUUCCUUAGAUCGUACCCACAAUUACUUGGAUAACUGUGGUAAUUCUAGAGCUAAUACAUGCAAACAGAGCUCCGACCGGAGACGGAAGGAGUGCUUUUAUUAGAUCAAAACCAAUCGGUGGCGGGGCUCGUCAUCGCACAACUUGGUGACUCUGAAUAACUUUACGCUGAUCGCACGGUCAUCGCACCGGCGACGCAUCUUUCAAAUGUCUGCCUUAUCAACUGUCGAUGGUAGGUUCUGCGCCUACCAUGGUUGUAACGGGUAACGGGGAAUCAGGGUUCGAUUCCGGAGAGGGAGCCUGAGAAACGGCUACCACAUCCAAGGAAGGCAGCAGGCGCGCAAAUUACCCACUCCCGGCACGGGGAGGUAGUGACGAAAAAUAACGAUACGGGACUCAUCCGAGGCCCCGUAAUCGGAAUGAGUACACUCUAAACCCUUUAACGAGGAUCAAUUGGAGGGCAAGUCUGGUGCCAGCAGCCGCGGUA